RNAcentral lists this ribosomal RNA (253 nucleotides) under uncultured prokaryote. RNAcentral describes it as "partial 16S ribosomal RNA". It matches the Rfam family "Bacterial small subunit ribosomal RNA", at positions 524 to 776 of the family's 1533-position model. The record is from RNAcentral.
UACAGAGGUCCCGAGCGUUGUUCGGAUUCACUGGGCGUAAAGGGUGCGUAGGUGGUCGGGUAAGUUUGAUGUGAAAUCUCCGGGCUUAACCCGGAAAAUGCAUUGAAUACUAUUCGGCUGGAGGGUUGGAGGGGGGACUGGAAUUCUCGGUGUAGCAGUGAAAUGCGUAGAUAUCGGGAAGAAUACCAGUGGCGAAGGCGUUCUGCUGGGCCGUUGCUGACACUGAGGCGCGACAGCGUGGGGAGCAAACAGG